This is a non-coding RNA of Polaromonas sp. JS666, 144 nucleotides long. NCBI's taxonomy places the organism in Bacteria, Pseudomonadati, Pseudomonadota, Betaproteobacteria, Burkholderiales, Comamonadaceae. The record is from Rfam.
CCACGUCUGGAACGACGUGACCUCGACCGCACGUGCGUCUGGAGUAAUCCGGGGGUGCGGAGCUGCGAGUAAACGACCUGUGCGUAAGCACAUAAGCCUGAUGUAAAUCAGUCCCAAUCCCAUGAGCAAGAAAUGGGAAGGUUG